RNA transcript from Cicer arietinum (chickpea), 2636 nucleotides. It is a transcript of the gene named BTB/POZ domain-containing protein At5g47800-like, with no coding region annotated. The record is from RefSeq and is a predicted model, not a curated record. Lineage: Eukaryota; Viridiplantae; Streptophyta; Magnoliopsida; Fabales; Fabaceae.
CUACAAACAUUGAUUUACCCAUAGGCCAUAGCAGCGAAGCGACGAGGAAGUUAAUCCGAAAUGAGAUCCAUUUCGAAACCUCUGAAGUUGUUAAGCAGACUCAGUUUCCACAAACUCCAUUCAGAGACUUCGUUUAACUCAACACCCAAACACACCACCACCACCAACAUCGUUACCUUAUUAUGCAAUUCAUUCAGAAUGAAACAGAAUUGGGACACCCUUACCCACAAAUUCAGUUCCAUCAAAUUAAACCAUUCAUUAGUUGAACAAGUCUUGUUAGAGCUAAAACACCCGACCGACGCAAAAAACGCAUUAAGUUUCUUCCACUGGUCCUCCAAGACGCACAGUUUUCAACACGGACUUCGCUCUUACUCCAUAACCAUCCACCUUUUACUCCAAGCUGGUUUAAUCACCGACGCUAAUGCAUUACUCGAAUCCCUCGUAAACAAACACACCAAAACCCAUACAGUUCGUGCGAUUAUUGAUUCAUUUAUAAACACCUCUGAGUCUGUCUCCGGUUCUCACCUUCCGGUUUUCGAUCUUCUCGUUAAAGCCUAUGCUAAAGCUAGAUUAACGGACGUUGCUUUCGCCGUUUGCCGUUGCGUCGAGGAGUGUGGCUUUUGCGUUAGUUUAUCAAGUUUCAAUGCUCUGCUUUAUGUUGCUCAGAAGGGUAACCGUUUUUCCACCGUUUGGGACGUUUACGGUUACAUGAUUGGGAAAAGAAUUUACCCUAAUGUAGUUACAUUGAGGAUUAUGAUUGAUGCUCUUUGUAAAGAGGGAUUGUUACAAAGGAAUGUGGAUGCCCUGGAUCAAAUUAUCGGUAAGCGAAAUUCGCAUUCUCCUUCGGUUAUUGUUAAUUUGAGUUUGAUAUUGAGAAUGUUAGAAAAGGGAAAUGUGGAAGAAGAAGAUGUUGAUAAUGAGUUAGUUAAGUUAGUUACACUGUUGAAGAGAUUGUUACAGAAGAAUUUGAUUGGUGAUUCUGUUGCUUACUCUUUGAUUGUUCAUGUUAAAAUUAGGUUAGGGAAUUUGGAUUCUGCUUUGGAGAUAUAUGAGGAGAUGGUGAGAAGAGGUUUUAAUGAAAAUUCCUUUGUUCACACGUCGUUUAUACGAGUGUUUUGUGGGAAGGGACGAAUUGAUAAAGCAAUUGAAUUGAUGAAGGAAAUGGAAGCGAAGGGGUUAAGGCCUUAUGGUGAGACUUUUGAAUGUGUUAUCGUUGGAUGCGCGGAUUCGGGACGGUUGAAAGAUUGUUCAAGUUAUUUCGAGGAAAUGUUGUGUGCUGGGUUUGUUCCUAGUUGUUCGUCGUUUGAUAAGAUGGUUGCGAAGCUUUGUGAGAAUGGGGAUGUGGAGAAGGCAAAUGAUUUUUUGACUGUGUUAUUAGAUAAAGGGUUUUUGCCGAGUGAUGAGACUUAUUCUCAUCUGAUUUAUGGUUAUGCUAUAAAGGACGAGGUUCAAGAAGUUCUCAAGAUAUAUUAUGAAAUGGAGUAUAAGUCUAUGUGUCCUGGAUUGUCUGUUUAUUCAUCGAUGAUUAAGUGUUUGUGCCGUUUUGGAAAGCUUGAAGAUUCGGAGAAGUAUUUAAGGAUUAUGAAAGGUCGAUCAUUGGUUCCAAAUGUUAAUAUAUAUGAGACGUUGAUCGCUUGUCACGUGCAGAAGGGAAACAAUGAUAGGGCUCUUCAGCUUCGCAAUGAAAUGGCCUCAUUGGAGUCGCAACAUAGUUAGUGUUCCCAAAAGAGGUGAAGAUAGGAAACCUUUCAGAAGGUGCUCUCGUAAGUGUUGUAUGCGUCAGAGAUGAUUUAUGUUUGAAAACUUGGCUUUGGAUUAUACAUUUUGUAUAGAUCAAGAAAGGAGGUUCAGAGGCGUUGAACAUAUUGAGUUUGCAACAGCAGAAGAAGCAUAAAAAGCAAGCUUUUGCAACCUUCUUAAUAUAUCAUUUUAGAACUGACUGCAAGCAUUACCAAGAAGUUAUAUCAGUGGAAGCAAAGCAAUAAUGCCAUAUAUAUACUUCUCGGACACAUUUGAGUUUCCACUUCUUCCAAAAUGUGGCCUACUACAAAGACUUUGCUCUCAUACUAAUGAUUCUGAGAGUGUUUCUCUAGAGCUUCAUGAUAUGCGUGGUGGCUCAGAUGCUUUUGAACUCUGUGCUAAGUUCUGCUAUGGAGUUUCAAUCAACAUUAGUGCUCAUAAUUUUGUACCUGCACUCUGUAGCUUCUCCAAAUGAAUGAGUCUAUUGAGAGGGGAAACUUUGUAGGUAAGCUUGAGUCUUUCUUCAGUUCAUGCAUUCUAGAAGGUUGGAAAGACUCCAUUUCUACACUGCAUGGCACUGAUAAGUUACCAGAAUGGUCUGAGAAUCUUGGCAUAAUAAGAAAAUGCAUUGAUUCAAUUAUUGAAAAAGUUCUUACACCUCCAUCACAGGUUAAUAAUCAAUACCAUAAAUUCCUCACAUAAGAUUUGAUACUCAGCUAUGAAGCACCGACACAGACACCGGUAAUAAUUUCAAAAAUAAAAGUGAUUAAAUGUUAUAACAUGUGUCAGUGUCGUGUCAGUGUCAGACAAUGCAUGUGUUGGAUGUUAGACACGCUUUCAAUCCAAGGUGUCGGGGCUACAUAGAUAGACAUUUUUUACUUAACAAUGAUGAUUAU